UUUAUGGAGAGUUUGAUCCUGGCUCAGAACGAACGCUGGCGGCGUGCUUAAUACAUGCAAGUCGAACGAGAAAGGCUGGCUUCGGCCGGCCCGGUAAAGUGGCGAACGGGUGAGUAACACGUGGGCAAUCUACCCUCGAAUCUGGGAUAAUCCUUCGAAAGGAGGUCUAAUACCGGAUAAGACCACAAGGUGGCAUCAUCAAGUGGUCAAAGGCGGAGCAAUCUGCCGUUUGAGGAUGAGCCCGCGCCCCAUUAGCUUGUUGGUGAGGUAACGGCUCACCAAGGCUGCGAUGGGUAGCCGGCUUGAGAGAGUGAUCGGCCACACUGGGACUGAGAUACGGCCCAGACUCCUACGGGAGGCAGCAGUAGGGAAUAUUGCGCAAUGGACGAAAGUCUGACGCAGCAACGCCGCGUGGGUGAUGAAGCAUCUUGGUGUGUAAAACCCUGUCAGUGGGGAAGAACAAUAUCAGGCGUAACUACCUGAUACCUGACGGUACCCACAGAGGAAGCACCGGCUAACUCCGUGCCAGCAGCCGCGGUAAUACGGGGGGUGCAAGCGUUGUUCGGAUUUACUGGGCGUAAAGGGCGCGUAGGCGGGCCUUCAAGUCGGAUGUGAAAACUGGCAGCUUAACUGCCAGCCUGCACUCGAUACUAGAGGUCUUGAGUACGGAAGAGGAAAGCGGAAUUCCAGGUGUAGCGGUGAAAUGCGUAGAUAUCUGGAAGAACACCAGUAGCGAAGGCGGCUUUCUGGUCCGAUACUGACGCUGAAGCGCGAAGGCUAGGGUAGCAAACAGGAUUAGAUACCCUGGUAGUCCUAGCGGUAAACGAUGGGUACUAGGUGUCGGGGGUAUCGACCCCCUCGGUGCCGCAGCUAACGCAUUAAGUACCCCGCCUGGGGAGUACGGUCGCAAGAUUGAAACUCAAAGGAAUUGACGGGGGCCCGCACAAGCGGUGGAGUAUGUGGUUUAAUUCGAGGCAACGCGAAGAACCUUACCUGGGCUUGACAUGCUUAGGACCGUCGGUGAAAGCCGAUUUUCCCUUCGGGGACCUUUGCACAGGUGCUGCAUGGCUGUCGUCAGCUCGUGCCGUGAGGUGUUGGGUUAAGUCCCGCAACGAGCGCAACCCCUGUCCAUAGUUGCCAUCAGGUCAUGCUGGGAACUCUAUGGAGACUGCCGGUGAUAAGCUGGAGGAAGGUGGGGAUGACGUCAAGUCCUCAUGGCCCUUAUGUCCAGGGCUACACACGUACUACAAUGGUCGGUACAGUAGGUUGCAAUACCGCAAGGUGGAGCCAAUCCCCAAAGCCGACCCCAGUUCAGAUUGGAGUCUGCAACUCGACUCCAUGAAGGAGGAAUCGCUAGUAAUCGCUGAUCAGCAAGCAGCGGUGAAUACGUUCCCGGGCCUUGUACACACCGCCCGUCAAGCCACGGAAGUUGGGAGCACCCGAAGUCGCUAGCUUAACCCUCACGGGAUGGCGGCGCCUAAGGUGAAACCGAUGACUGGGGCUAAGUCGUAACAAGGUAGCCGUAGCGGAAGCUGUGGCUGGAUCACCUCCUUU
This 1554-nucleotide ribosomal RNA is filed under the name Candidatus Zixiibacteriota bacterium. Its description in RNAcentral is "bacterial SSU rRNA". It matches the Rfam family "Bacterial small subunit ribosomal RNA". The record is from RNAcentral. Lineage: Bacteria; Pseudomonadati; Candidatus Zixiibacteriota.